GACCUUUCUCACUAUCAGUAAAGGUGAUCAAGCACCCCUAAUCCCAUUGCAGAGUCCAUUCGAUUUGGGUAUGAAAGUCUGCUUAUGCUAGUUUUGCAUCCCUGCUUCCAGAUGGGUAGUAUUUCUGCCACUAGAGGUUAAUGUGAAUGUCUGAUGAUGCCUAAUACUCAUUGCCACCUAGGAAACUUAGAGAUGAAGACCCAACCCAUAUCAAUAGUAGGCACUUGCUGUGUCUUUGGUUUAUGAAUCAAGUGAAUGUACAAGCUAAAAGUGCUUUCUUGAUGAAAAGCUGGGCCCAGGAGGCGAUAAAACAGACAGCUAGCCUAGAAUCCUAGGGCUUCCGGAGUCUCACAUUGACUGGCUUUCCUUGAAGCAGGGUGCCCUGAGUGAAGAUCUCCUAGUGGCCCCCAUCUCCUCAGUGACUGUCUACAGCUCUUGCAGGAACUCCUGCCCCAUGCCUCUGUCAAUGGUUCUCUUUCCAGUGGUUGAGAGCAUUACAGCGCUGUCUGUCCGGCUGCUGUAUCAUGU
This 528-nucleotide long non-coding RNA is filed under the name Bos taurus (domestic cattle). RNAcentral's name for it is "long non-coding RNA NONBTAT024460". The record is from RNAcentral. Lineage: Eukaryota; Metazoa; Chordata; Mammalia; Artiodactyla; Bovidae.